AACGAACGCUGGCGGCAGGCCUAACACAUGCAAGUCGAGCGCACCCUUCGGGGCGAGCGGCGGACGGGUUAGUAACGCGUGGGAAUGUACCCUUUUCUACGGAAUAGCCAUUGGAAACGAUGAGUAAUACCGUAUACGCCCUUUGGGGGAAAGAUUUAUCGGAGAAGGAUCAGCCCGCGUUAGAUUAGAUAGUUGGUGGGGUAAUGGCCUACCAAGUCUACGAUCUAUAGCUGGUUUUAGAGGAUGAUCAGCAACACUGGGACUGAGACACGGCCCAGACUCCUACGGGAGGCAGCAGUGGGGAAUCUUAGACAAUGGGCGCAAGCCUGAUCUAGCCAUGCCGCGUGAGUGAAGAAGGCCUUAGGGUCGUAAAGCUCUUUCGCCAGGGAUGAUAAUGACAGUACCUGGUAAAGAAACCCCGGCUAACUCCGUGCCAGCAGCCGCGGUAAUACGGAGGGGGUUAGCGUUGUUCGGAAUUACUGGGCGUAAAGCGCACGUAGGCGGAUUAGAAAGUAUGGGGUGAAAUCCCAGGGCUCAACCCUGGAACUGCCUCAUAAACUCCUAAUCUAGAGUUCGAGAGAGGUGAGUGGAAUUCCGAGUGUAGAGGUGAAAUUCGUA
Molecule: ribosomal RNA, 618 nt
Filed under: uncultured Alphaproteobacteria bacterium
Lineage: Bacteria; Pseudomonadati; Pseudomonadota; Alphaproteobacteria
Description: bacterial SSU rRNA
Rfam family: Bacterial small subunit ribosomal RNA
Source: RNAcentral